This is an RNA transcript of Rosa rugosa (rugosa rose), 1167 nucleotides long. RefSeq lists it as uncharacterized. The transcript has 3 exons. The record is from RefSeq and is a predicted model, not a curated record. NCBI's taxonomy places the organism in Eukaryota, Viridiplantae, Streptophyta, Magnoliopsida, Rosales, Rosaceae.
CCCCUUUUCACACUCUCUUACCACUGAAUUCGACUCUUGUUCUCUCAAACCCAAUCCUCUGACCUCUGUCUCAGCCCCCUACUCCCCUUGAUACAAAACUGAAAACCCAGAGACCAGGCCUCAACGCAUUCCGAUCUCUGUCCAAAUUUCCGAUCUCGAACUCCCACCCUAGGCUCACCUCCCCAUCAUCUCCUCCUCACCGCGCUAACGGCUAUCUUCUCACGCGUAUCCGCUAAGGCCAAGCCGGCUUCUACCCAUCUUUGCAGAGAAAGCCAGCCAUAGUCGCCGAAGCACCACGGUCGAAGCUCCAAUCCCCGAUCGAUAUCAACGCUCCUCCGCCGCUACUCCCCGCGUUGUGGAGAAGGAAGAAGACGAAUUUCCCAAUGGGAUGUUCCUUAUAUAAAAACCCCUCACUCACGCUCUCCUCUAUGACUCUCUCUCUUUGAGUGUGCUAAAUGUGCUCGUUGGCUACCAGAUGAUAAUGGCUAUCCAAAAGCUAGCCAUAUAUCAGCUGAAAAGCUAUCUAACAAUAGCCGAGCCCUGCAGUUCAUUAAUUUGAUCCAAGAAGCCAAGAUACGAAGCAAAAAUCUUGUUAAGUUUGUGGAAUCUCAUGAUCAGCUUGAGUACCGGAUGGAGUGGGCUGGGUUUUUAAUUUCAAUUGCAAAAAUCUGCAGAUCUUGGUUGUUGCUAAGGUAGGAAGUGCUCAAUUUUCCAAAUAUGCAACCUAUUCUAUGUUUUUCAAUAAUUCCUACCUCCAGCUUAUGACUUUAUGUUUCUCUUAUUGGAUUCUUGUUCUUUGACCUAUCAUUUUGUUACAUACGUGGUCAAUGAAAAAGAUCACCGUCAGUUCUAACCCUUCUCCAGAAGAUUUGGUCAACAACCUUGGUACCAUUGCAAGGUCUGGCACCAAGAAAUUCAUGGAAGCCUUGGCUACUAGAUCUGAUGUUAGCAUGAUUGGUCAGUUUGGUGUUGGAUUCUACUUUGCAUAUCAUGUUGUUGAGAAGGAAGAGGAAGUUGAUGAAGAGAAGGAAGUGGGCAUGUUUCUGGCCUUGAUUUUUUUGACAUUUAUGUUUAGGCAGGGUUAGUAUGUUCAUGUUAAUGUUGGGCUAUGAAUACUGCUGAUGGAAUUUGUAUGUUUUGGAAUCAAUGGAAAGUUUUUGGAAUCAA